RNAcentral lists this unclassified non-coding RNA (7338 nucleotides) under Drosophila yakuba. RNAcentral's name for it is "GE10292". The record is from RNAcentral. Lineage: Eukaryota; Metazoa; Arthropoda; Insecta; Diptera; Drosophilidae.
AGUCGUUAGGGUACAACCAGACAGGACGCACUUACUCCGAGCUGCCGCCAUUCGCCUGCCUUGGCGUGUGUGUACCGUUAGUUCAGCUGUCCCGUGCAGAGAGGCAAAUAAGCGGGGAAGCCCCGACAUCGAACCGAAAUCGAAAUCGAAUCAUAGCCAAAGUCAAAGUCAGAGUAUCGCUCAGUAUCGAGGUGCAUAGAAACUUGCUGGUUAGUGCGUGAAGAAACUGCCAAAACAACAACCAAAAAAAAAGAAACGAAAAAACGAAAAUAAAUACUCCAAUUCCCUCUGUGGCAGCUCCCGCGCGUCCAAGUGUGUGUAAGUGUCGUCUGUGCGUGUGUGCGUGCGUUUUCCCAAAAAAACUUCAGAUCGAGUGUGUUCAUCAACAACAAAUAAAAUAAAAAUCCAAUUUAAAUAAAAGUUUUUCGUUAUAUUCACCACAUAAAGGCAAUAUGCAAGUAUUAAACAAAAAAACACUCAGAAAAUGUUAAACAAAAUUAAAUGAAUGCAAAUUAAAAAGCACGAGGAAAAGCCAAAAUAAAUAACAACAGCAACAAUGUGUUCAUAACUAUUAAAAACGGAAAAUUAAAACAAAAAAAGCAGUGGCUUAAAUUAACGCAUUAUGCUAAAUCGAAACCAAACUCAUCUGAAUCUCUACUCUCGCAUCCAUGUUUCUGCAUCCGCACCCGUAUCCGCAUUCGUAUUCGCAUCCGCACCUGUAUCUGUAGCCGAAUCAGUAUCGUUGCAUCUGCUGAGCGAAUGAGACGAAGCAGCAAACAUGCCAGCUAAAUUCCAAUUCAAAAACCCAGAAUCAAUACUUCAAUCAGUCUGGCAAGCAAGCAAUCAAGCAAUUCCAUCAUCAAUCUCGCAACUGCCAUCAACUCAUCAGCAAUAACAACUGCAACCAGCACUGCAACAACUGUCCCAACACAAAUGCGACUAACUAAAUGCAUCCAACUAAAGCAAAUAAACUUAAAUAAUUCCAAACCAUAAUCCUAAAAAAGAAAAUUCAAAACCAAAACCAAAUACCACUCGAAGGCGAACGAAGCGAGCGAGUUAAAUACAAUUUUCAUAUUAAUUAUGGAACAUUCAUCAACAAUUUCGUUGUGUUUGUUCCAUUGUAAAAGCAAAAAGGUCGCCGAUUGUUUGCAGCUGCAGCAACAACGACCACUGCAACAAUCAGCAACAACUCUCGCCGCAGCAGGAACAAAAUCAACCAGAAGACCAACAACAUCCGCAACACAGCAGCAACUUCUUAAACAGCAGCAACUCCAAGCUUCAUUUCGGCAAAAUUGCUGGCUAACAUCUUACAACUGAACGAAACAACGAUACUAAGCUGUACUACAAGAUAUAAGGAUCAACAACAAAAAUAAAAUCAACCAGAAAAACAACAACUGCUACCUAAGGUUUCUCAAAAUCCAACAAAAAACAAAAAAUAACAAACUCAAAUAGAAAAUGAAAACCAUAUAAGCGACCCAGAAAAAAGUGCAAAUUAUGUAAAUUAUUUCAAAAGGAAAAACGCAAAGGGAAAACCGAAGAGCAAACGAAAGAGAAUUAGUCAAAUAAAAGCGAACGGAAAAACAAUAUCUGUGACCAGGCGAAGACCGGAAAUUAAAUCUGCAACGCGGAACCAAAGUGGAAGAGGAAGCACAGCCACAACCACAACCGCAACCGCAGCAAAAUCCGAAGAAAGUCGACGGCAAACGCGUGCCAAAUAUUUGCUAGAAAAAUACCAGAAUAAAAUAAUAAUCAAAGGCGCUUCCUUGAAAAAAAAACAAAGCAAAAAUAGUAGAAUUGAGAAAUUCUAGUUGCUUUUGAGAUAGCCUAAGUGUCCCAUGACAGCUGCAUUGCGCUGAGAAGGUGUGGGCAGGAGUACGGACUGCUGGGAGACCAUCUCUCGUCCAUUGUUGAACUCUGACCCACACGACGGCGCAUUGUCUCCGGACCAUUGUGCUAAUCAUCGCUAGUUGGGAGCACUGGCCAACUAUUUAGCCAAGGUGACGAGGCGGGGACAGCCAACCACUUCAAGGCAGCUCAACCACACCAAGGAGCACUGUGAAAGGAGGCGGCGGAUCGGGAACGGGAACAGGAGGAACAGGAGGACCAGGAGCCGUAGUCGAAGCAGGACCAGAAGCAGCAGAAGGAGCAGCAGGGGCGGGGUGGUAGCCAUUCAACCCGAGAGCCACGCGAUACAAACAAGCCAAGGACAUGGACUCCCCGCUGCCAGCGUCGCUGUCGCUGUUUGUCCUGUUGAUCUUUCUGGCGAUAAUUAAAGAAAGCUGUCAAGGACCUCAUGAAAAGCGCCUGCUGAACCACCUGCUGUCCACCUACAACACGCUGGAGCGACCCGUGGCCAACGAAUCGGAGCCCCUGGAGGUGAAAUUUGGACUGACGCUGCAGCAGAUCAUCGACGUGGACGAGAAGAAUCAGCUUCUCAUAACGAAUCUUUGGCUUUCGUUGGAGUGGAACGACUACAAUCUGCGCUGGAAUGAAACGGAAUACGGCGGAGUCAAGGACCUCCGAAUCACGCCCAACAAGCUGUGGAAGCCCGACGUGCUCAUGUACAACAGCGCGGAUGAGGGAUUCGAUGGCACGUAUCACACCAACAUUGUGGUCAAACAUAACGGCAGUUGUCUGUACGUGCCCCCUGGUAUCUUCAAGAGCACAUGCAAGAUAGACAUCACGUGGUUCCCAUUUGAUGACCAACAUUGCGAAAUGAAAUUCGGUAGUUGGACUUACGAUGGAAAUCAGUUGGAUUUGGUUUUGAAUUCCGAAGAUGGAGGGGAUCUUUCCGAUUUCAUAACAAAUGGCGAGUGGUACUUGCUUGCCAUGCCGGGAAAGAAGAAUACGAUAGUCUACGCCUGCUGCCCAGAACCAUAUGUCGAUAUCACCUUUACUAUACAAAUACGUCGCCGUACAUUAUAUUAUUUUUUCAAUUUAAUCGUGCCAUGUGUGCUAAUCUCAUCGAUGGCCCUCCUGGGCUUCACAUUGCCGCCGGAUUCGGGCGAGAAACUGACGCUGGGCGUAACUAUACUACUAUCAUUAACAGUAUUUCUAAACCUUGUCGCCGAGUCCAUGCCGACAACGUCGGAUGCUGUUCCUCUUAUAGGCACCUACUUCAAUUGCAUCAUGUUCAUGGUCGCAUCGUCGGUGGUGCUGACAGUAGUGGUGCUCAACUACCACCAUCGCACAGCGGACAUUCACGAGAUGCCACCGUGGAUCAAGUCCGUUUUCCUACAAUGGCUGCCCUGGAUCUUGCGAAUGGGUCGACCUGGCCGCAAGAUCACACGCAAAACAAUACUACUAAGCAAUCGCAUGAAGGAGCUGGAGCUGAAGGAGCGCUCCUCCAAGUCCCUGUUGGCCAAUGUCCUCGACAUCGACGACGACUUUCGGCACACAAUAUCCGGCUCCCAGACCGCCAUCGGUUCAUCGGCCAGCUUCGGUCGGCCCACAACGGUGGAGGAGCACCACACGGCCAUCGGCUGCAAUCACAAAGAUCUUCACCUGAUUCUCAAAGAAUUGCAAUUUAUUACGGCGCGCAUGCGCAAAGCCGACGACGAAGCGGAAUUGAUCGGCGAUUGGAAGUUCGCGGCAAUGGUUGUGGAUAGAUUUUGUUUAAUUGUUUUCACGCUCUUCACGAUUAUUGCAACGGUUACCGUGCUGCUCUCGGCUCCGCACAUAAUCGUGCAAUAAGGACGCUCGAAUUAGGUCAUUAAGCUACGGAUACGUCGGAAGCAGACGACUAGUUAAGUUCUUUUUCAAAAACCAAAAACUAGCAAAGCUGCUUCGAAGCAAAGCAAACAAAAACAAACAAGAAAAGAAAACUACAAAAAAAUAAUAAAAAAUACAAAAUUGUUAAUUACAUUUUUAAGUAAAGACAAAGAGCAAAGAGAAAAUGUUGCAAGAAAAAAAAAAAUAAACCUAACAAAAUCAUGUACUAAAAAAUAUUUUAUGGACAAACCAAACAAAAAAGCAAAAAUUACUGCCGUACAAGAACCGAAAAAGUGUUAAGUAAGCUACACACGCACACAAAAUUAUAAGAGUUAAGCAAACAACCAGAAAGAAACAACAAUUUGGUUAAGGAUAGCCAAAAAAAAUUGGUGCAGCAGGACGAAAAGGACAACAAGGAAACAUCGCGGGACAGGACACUCAAAGGUUACAUGUGUACACCCACUGACACAGACACACUCACAUACAUCUAGGUGAACGGACGACAGACACACACACACAUGGACACACAGACACAGAUACGGAUACACCUAAGAUAUAUGAUAUAUGUAUAAGAUAUUGUUCCUAUGAGACAUUAGAUAUGUAUUUAAAAUGGCAACACACUCACGUACAGAGACACACACACACACACACACACACCGACACUGAAGCACUUAAUUGACAAAUGCAAAAACAAGGGAAUGAAACCAUUUAUUCGUAGGAAAGGACGAAAACAGGAUAGGCACUUAAGGACAGUGGGUUGAGUGGGUACAAGUUAUGGUCUGAUGACCCUUUGUUGUUUUGUUGUCUGCAUUUUUGAGCUCUAAUAUUUCCGCUUUCGGUUUUCAUUUCGGGAUCACGUGGACCAACACUAUUUUGUUUGAUUUCCUUCAUUCCAGUUUGCAAACAAAAUAUGAUCCCAGUGAAGAAACCCUUGCGAAAUCCCAUUUGAGUACAUAACUCACUUUCAUUUUACUUGUCUUGUAAUUUAACUUGUUCGUCUUUUGGAACGCUUUUGGAGAGAUAUUUGCAAGAUAGCUGAUUGUAAAUGGUAACAAACUGACACAUAAUUAUGGAUAUUAACAAAGGUCUAUAUAUACAUACAUAUACUCAUAGUGAAUUGAAUUAAUUUUUAAAAGACGCAUUCACGAACACGGAAAGGGGAGGGAGGCAUGUUCGGUGAACAUCAUGUUUUUAGAAAAUUUAUUGUUGAAAUAUUGUAGCGAAUUGAGUAAGCAUUAAGGGCGAAUGAAACCGAGUUAUAGUCACCAAUUAAUUAGUCAAAGUAAUAAUAAAUGGAAAUUGAAAACCAGAGAUCCCAAAAACCGAAAAACCGAACUAGCAAUACAAGAUCAACAGGUGUAUAUAUAUUUUAUGACACAUAUAUCACCGCAUAUAUACAUACACAUAUAUAUAUGGAUAUAUUUUUAAUAAAACAAUACGGAAUCGAGCAAAACUAAAGACACUAAGCAGAAGAAGCUAAGCAGCGCAAGAACAGAAACCCACUAUCAAAUAAUAAAACCAAAAAACCAACCAACCGAUCCCAAACAAUGCCACUCGAAAUCACAAGAAUAAAUCACAAUUUUGUUGGAAAUUUCGCAUAGUUUUCGGAUGAGUUCACCCUGUCUAUAUCUAUGUACUUACGUAUAUCCCUGUGUAUUCCUAGAAACGAGCUUCGAAUUUUGUCUACUUUACUCUGCUCUCCCCCGAAAAAUAAAAACAUAAAGCAAAACAGUGAUAUUUAUGGUAUAGCCCCCAAAAAAGACGAACUCAAACACUCUUUCCGGAACCCACCUAAGAAACCAAAAACCAAAAUCAAUGAAAAACCUACCUCCUUGUCGAAUGAGAAUGAUAAUGAUCGAAGGACGAUGAAGCAUAGAAACACUGCCGAGUUAAUCGCACUCCUCUGACCCCUUGCAAAAAAAGUGAACCCAUUUUCUUAUUUAUUUUAGUCCUGCCAAAGAGAAUUUCUAACAGAAUUGUGUGACGAGCAACCACUUUUGAUAGCCAGACGUAAAGUUUACUUAACGGAUAAACCAGAUCGGCCCUAUACUCGUACAUAGCUAAUAUGCCCGAUGUCAAAAUUUCAGAAUGUCAGAUUGUCAGAGGGAAACCAAUCGAGUGCUGAAUGCUGAAUCCACUGAAGGAACUGCAGAUCAGAUCUAAGCGUUUAAGGUGUAUACACUCACUUUGUAUGGUUUAUUUGCAUUUAGGUACAUUUAAAUUUAGAUUUGAUAUGAGACGACUUUUACUUGCGCCCAGAGCGAUGGGUAAUCCUACCGAAAACUGCUCUGUCCCCAUGAGGUUGUUGUUUUUCGAGGUGCGAAUUCCAAUUGAAAUUGAGAUCUUGAGUUGAAGUAUGAGAAUCGGAAUCAGAAUUAGAUGUGAAGAGGUAGAGUUGCGGAAGGUGUGUGCAUUUUAAAUUUAAUUUUUUUUUAUAAUUAAUUUAGUGCUAAUCUUUGAGCAGCUAGGCGCAUAAUUAGAACUACGUACGUAUAUGUGUAUGGAUGUCUUUUUGAUAAAAAGAAGCUGUUUUAAGAAGCAAACCAUUUUCUACACUCUUUAAAAGAUUGAACUCUACAUGUACGAGAUUAUGUAUAAUACAAGUAAUAAUAAUUUAGCGUUAACUAGGCAAUUAUAAAAUGCGGUGACCUGCAAAAGGAGCCAUAAACUAAGCGUCCUACAUUAGGAGAGGUCGACCUUCGACCUAAGCGAUUACCAGAAAUAAAGUUAAAAAGUUGGUGCAGUUGCGAGGGAAGGCAAAAACUAAAAAAAACGAUAAACGAAUUUAAAAUUGAUAAUGAACAUGAAAUUACCACGAAACCAAACUUGUAGUGAAGCCAAGUGCUUUUUCAUUUGAAAACUCUACUACUCACUUACGACUUACCUACUUUGCAAGUAUUAACUAAUUUCCUCUGAUCAGAGUUACACGCAAUCGCGAAAUGCAAAAAGCUAAUUACAAAACGGUUGGUACACGCCCAAAACACACACACAGUCAGACAAUGGAAAAUGACAAAUGAAAAAUGAAAGCAUUCGAAUUGUUCGUAUUACAAACAAAAAACAAAAAAAUAAAGAAACCAGCAAACCGAAGAGUUCGAAUUUCGUUUCAAUUGCACUCCGCAUGUUCUCCAAUACCCCAGGGCAAUUAAACAGAGUUCAACAAUAAAUAGAGCAUUAAAAAACCGAUUCGAGACACUUUUUUAAACAAGGCAAAUAUAUUUAAAAUUAGCAUUUAACUAAAUGACAAGAAAAACGUAGUCUAUAAACUGCGAAUGUUUAGCACUAAACUGACCCGAGCAGAAUUCUGCCAGCCAACCCGAAUCCAAAUCCAAGCCUCCACCUGUGUCCCAAGUCUAACUACCACAUCAAUUUAAAUAGCUAAUUGCAUAAUUAUUAAACCGUUACUGAAUUUCUGUCGAUUGCCAAUCGCGAAAAAGAAAAACAUAAAAUCUUCCCAAAAAUUAUGCAUGUAAAAAAGGAAAUGGCUAAGAAAAAAAACCAAAAAAUUAGCAAGAAGUCUGUUGUCGAUAAGAAUUAUUGGCAGACAAAUAACUUUCGUCACAUUGACGAUAAUAACUAAUUUUAAGCGAAAAACAAAGGAAUUAAUUGAUUUAAAUAAUAAACAAAUUA